Molecule: ribosomal RNA, 543 nt
Filed under: Fusarium verticillioides
Lineage: Eukaryota; Fungi; Ascomycota; Sordariomycetes; Hypocreales; Nectriaceae
Description: eukaryotic LSU rRNA
Rfam family: 5.8S ribosomal RNA (bases 132-285)
Source: RNAcentral
CCAACCCCUGUGACAUACCAAUUGUUGCCUCGGCGGAUCAGCCCGCUCCCGGUAAAACGGGACGGCCCGCCAGAGGACCCACAAACUCUGUUUCUAUAUGUAACUUCUGAGUAAAACCAUAAAUAAAUCAAAACUUUCAACAACGGAUCUCUUGGUUCUGGCAUCGAUGAAGAACGCAGCAAAAUGCGAUAAGUAAUGUGAAUUGCAGAAUUCAGUGAAUCAUCGAAUCUUUGAACGCACAUUGCGCCCGCCAGUAUUCUGGCGGGCAUGCCUGUUCGAGCGUCAUUUCAACCCUCAAGCCCAGCUUGGUGUUGGGACUCGCGAGUCAAAUCGCGUUCCCCAAAUUGAUUGGCGGUCACGUCGAGCUUCCAUAGCGUAGUAGUAAAACCCUCGUUACUGGUAAUCGUCGCGGCCACGCCGUUAAACCCCAACUUCUGAAUGUUGACCUCGGAUCAGGUAGGAAUACCCGCUGAACUUAAGCAUAUCAAUAAGGCGGAGGAAAGUUUGAUCCCUCUGCUGGUUCACCUACGGAAACCUUGUUAC